This 468-nucleotide ribosomal RNA is filed under the name uncultured bacterium. RNAcentral describes it as "partial 16S ribosomal RNA". It matches the Rfam family "Bacterial small subunit ribosomal RNA", at positions 28 to 507 of the family's 1533-position model. The record is from RNAcentral.
GACGAACGCUGGCGGCGUGCUUAACACAUGCAAGUCGAACGGAAAGGCCCUGCUUUUGUGGGGUGCUCGAGUGGCGAACGGGUGAGUAACACGUGAGUAACCUGCCCUUGACUUUGGGAUAACUUCAGGAAACUGGGGCUAAUACCGGAUAGGAGCUCCUGCUGCAUGGUGGGGGUUGGAAAGUUUCGGCGGUUGGGGAUGGACUCGCGGCUUAUCAGCUUGUUGGUGGGGUAGUGGCUUACCAAGGCUUUGACGGGUAGCCGGCCUGAGAGGGUGACCGGCCAAAUUGGGAAUGAGAUACGGCCCAGACUACUACGGGAGGCAGCAGUGGGGAAUAUUGCACAAUGGGCGGAAGCCUGAUGCAGCAACGCCGCGUGCGGGAUGACGGCCUUCGGGUUGUAAACCGCUUUCGCCUGUGACGAAGCGUGAGUGACGGUAAUGGGUAAAGAAGCACCGGCUAACUACGUG